RNAcentral lists this ribosomal RNA (1372 nucleotides) under uncultured bacterium. Its description in RNAcentral is "bacterial SSU rRNA". It matches the Rfam family "Bacterial small subunit ribosomal RNA", at positions 28 to 1381 of the family's 1533-position model. The record is from RNAcentral.
GAUGAACGCUGGCGGCGUGCCUAAUACAUGCAAGUCGAGCGAACGGACGAGAAGCUUGCUUCUCUGAUGUUAGCGGCGGACGGGUGAGUAACACGUGGAUAACCUACCUAUAAGACUGGGAUAACUUCGGGAAACCGGAGCUAAUACCGGAUAAUAUUUUGAACCGCAUGGUUCAAAAGUGAAAGACGGUCUUGCUGUCACUUAUAGAUGGAUCCGCGCUGCAUUAGCUAGUUGGUAAGGUAACGGCUUACCAAGGCAACGAUGCAUAGCCGACCUGAGAGGGUGAUCGGCCACACUGGAACUGAGACACGGUCCAGACUCCUACGGGAGGCAGCAGUAGGGAAUCUUCCGCAAUGGGCGAAAGCCUGACGGAGCAACGCCGCGUGAGUGAUGAAGGUCUUCGGAUCGUAAAACUCUGUUAUUAGGGAAGAACAUAUGUGUAAGUAACUGUGCACAUCUUGACGGUACCUAAUCAGAAAGCCACGGCUAACUACGUGCCAGCAGCCGCGGUAAUACGUAGGUGGCAAGCGUUAUCCGGAAUUAUUGGGCGUAAAGCGCGCGUAGGCGGUUUUUUAAGUCUGAUGUGAAAGCCCACGGCUCAACCGUGGAGGGUCAUUGGAAACUGGAAAACUUGAGUGCAGAAGAGGAAAGUGGAAUUCCAUGUGUAGCGGUGAAAUGCGCAGAGAUAUGGAGGAACACCAGUGGCGAAGGCGACUUUCUGGUCUGUAACUGACGCUGAUGUGCGAAAGCGUGGGGAUCAAACAGGAUUAGAUGCCCUGGUAGUCCACGCCGUAAACGAUGAGUGCUAAGUGUUAGGGGGUUUCCGCCCCUUAGUGCUGCAGCUAACGCAUUAAGCACUCCGCCUGGGGAGUACGACCGCAAGGUUGAAACUCAAAGGAAUUGACGGGGACCCGCACAAGCGGUGGAGCAUGUGGUUUAAUUCGAAGCAACGCGAAGAACCUUACCAAAUCUUGACAUCCUUUGACAACUCUAGAGAUAGAGCCUUCCCCUUCGGGGGACAAAGUGACAGGUGGUGCAUGGUUGUCGUCAGCUCGUGUCGUGAGAUGUUGGGUUAAGUCCCGCAACGAGCGCAACCCUUAAGCUUAGUUGCCAUCAUUAAGUUGGGCACUCUAAGUUGACUGCCGGUGACAAACCGGAGGAAGGUGGGGAUGACGUCAAAUCAUCAUGCCCCUUAUGAUUUGGGCUACACACGUGCUACAAUGGACAAUACAAAGGGCAGCGAAACCGCGAGGUCAAGCAAAUCCCAUAAAGUUGUUCUCAGUUCGGAUUGUAGUCUGCAACUCGACUACAUGAAGCUGGAAUCGCUAGUAAUCGUAGAUCAGCAUGCUACGGUGAAUACGUUCCCGGGUCU